RNAcentral lists this ribosomal RNA (301 nucleotides) under uncultured bacterium. Its description in RNAcentral is "partial 16S ribosomal RNA". It matches the Rfam family "Bacterial small subunit ribosomal RNA", at positions 509 to 809 of the family's 1533-position model. The record is from RNAcentral.
CAGCCGCCACGGUAAUACGGAGGAUCCAAGCGUUAUCCGGAAUCAUUGGGUUUAAAGGGUCCGUAGGCGGUCUUGUAAGUCAGUGGUGAAAGCCCAUCGCUCAACGGUGGAACGGCCAUUGAUACUGCAGGACUUGAAUUAUUGGGAAGUAACUAGAAUAUGUAGUGUAGCGGUGAAAUGCUUAGAGAUUACAUGGAAUACCAAUUGCGAAGGCAGGUUACUACCAAUUGAUUGACGCUGAUGGACGAAAGCGUGGGUAGCGAACAGGAUUAGAUACCCGCGUAGUCCCUGUCUCUUAUAA